RNAcentral lists this ribosomal RNA (253 nucleotides) under uncultured bacterium. RNAcentral's name for it is "partial 16S ribosomal RNA". It matches the Rfam family "Bacterial small subunit ribosomal RNA", at positions 524 to 776 of the family's 1533-position model. The record is from RNAcentral.
UACGUAGGGGGCGAGCGUUGUCCGAAGUUACUGGGCGUAAAGAGCGCGUAGGCGGCUCUUUAAGUGAGGGGUGAAAGGUUCGGGCUCAACCCGGACACUGCCUUUCAUACUGGAGACCUUGAGUGCGGGAGGGGCGAGUGGAAUGGUCGGUGUAGCGGUGAAAUGCGUAGAUAUCGAUCGGAACACCCAUGGCGAAGGCAGCUCGCUGGCCUGCAACUGACGCUGAGGCGCGAAAGCGCGGGGAGCAAACAGG